AAUAGAUACCCAGGUAGUCCACACCCUAAACGAUGCACACUUGGUGUUGGCCCGUUGGGGUCAGCGCCGGAGCUAACGCGUUAAGUGUGCCGCCUGGGAAGUACGGCCGCAAGCUUAAAACUCAAAGGAAUUGACGGGGACCCGCACAAGCGGUGGAGCGUGUGGUUUAAUUCGAUGGUAAACGAAGAACCUUACCAAGGUUUGACAUCCCGGUAGCCGUUCUCCGAAAGGAGAAUUUCAUUUAGUUGGACCGGUGACAGGUGAUGCAUGGCCGUCGUCAGCUCGUGUCGUGAGAUGUUGGGUUAAGUCCCGCAACGAGCGCAACCCUUAUGAUUUAGUUGGAUUUUUCUAAACAGACUGCCCUGGUAACAGGGAGGAAGGAGGGGAUGAUGUCAGGUCAGUAUUUCCCUUACACCUUGGGCGACACACGCGCUACAAUGGCCGGUACAAUGGGCAGCUAAGCCGCGAGGUGGAGCAAAUCCCAUCAAAGCCGGUCCCAGUUCGGAUUGCAGGCUGAAACCCGCCUGCAUGAAGCCGGAAUCGCUAGUAACCAGCG
RNAcentral lists this ribosomal RNA (556 nucleotides) under uncultured bacterium. Its description in RNAcentral is "bacterial SSU rRNA". It matches the Rfam family "Bacterial small subunit ribosomal RNA", at positions 777 to 1347 of the family's 1533-position model. The record is from RNAcentral.